UACGGAGGGUGCAAGCGUUGUCCGGAUUUAUUGGGUUUAAAGGGUGCGUAGGCGGCCCUGUAAGUCCGUGGUGAAAGCCAACAGCUCAACUGUUGAACUGCCAUGGAUACUGCAGGGCUUGAGUACAGACGAGGUAGGCGGAAUGGAUAGUGUAGCGGUGAAAUGCAUAGAUACUAUCCAGAACACCGAUUGCGUAGGCAGCUUACUAGGCUGUAACUGACGCUGAGGCGCGAAAGCGUGGGGAGCAAACAGG
RNAcentral lists this ribosomal RNA (253 nucleotides) under uncultured bacterium. RNAcentral describes it as "partial 16S ribosomal RNA". It matches the Rfam family "Bacterial small subunit ribosomal RNA", at positions 524 to 776 of the family's 1533-position model. The record is from RNAcentral.